Molecule: long non-coding RNA, 1420 nt
Organism: Helianthus annuus (common sunflower)
Lineage: Eukaryota; Viridiplantae; Streptophyta; Magnoliopsida; Asterales; Asteraceae
Exons: 9
Source: RefSeq, a predicted model, not a curated record
ACCCAAAACUUUUCAUUUCCCUCUUUCACCAAAUUGAAACCUAAACAUUUUUCAUUUCCCUCCUUCACCAAAUUCAUUCUCCCGCUUCCCAACCCUAGUUAUCUUCUUCACCUUAUAACUCAAAUUCAAACUAAAAAUUUCAUUUCCCCAAAUUUCCCAUCAAUCAUAGAGAAACACGCAGAGAGACGACGACAACGAUAGUGAGGGCAAAUCUGGACAUAAAUACCACAAAACUGAAGAUUGUCUAUACCCAGUUCUUAUCAUUUGAUUGAAAAGCCCUUGCUUGGACUCCUCAAAAUCAAUUGCCUCAAAUUACUUUGCCCGUUGCUAUUGGUAUCAAGUUGAAGAAAUUUGUGGUGGCAAGCAUUUCUAGUGCUAUUGGUUAUAUAUUCAGCAUGGUCAUCCCCCUUUGAGCUAGCUUUCAAGAAGGUGGCUACAGGAUCUCUCCUCUAUGUCGAUUUGGUUGUUGACUUCUGUUUUGCUACUGAUAUCAUUGUAACUUUCUUCGUCGCGUAUUUGGAUAAAUCAACAUAUCUGCUUGUUGAUGAGCACAAAAAAGGUAGCCAUAAGGUAUGUCACACAUAUGAUGUUCCCUAUGGAUGUGGCAUCAACACUGCCAUUUCAAACGAUAUACCGAAUUUUGACUGGAAAGCUGCACCGUGGGGAUGUUUUUGUUUCCUUAACUUGUUAAGGCUUUGCCGGCUAAGGCGUGUUAGCGAGCUAUUCUCAAGGCUAGAGAAAGAUACACGCUUCAGCUACUUCAUGACAAGAACCAUCAAACUAAUAUGUGUAACGCUUUUUGCAGUGCACUCAGCUGGCUGCUUUUACUAUUGGAUAGCCACUCGUCAUCAUAUCUCACAAGAUACAUGGAUUGGAUCUAUAAUUGAAAACUUUGAGGAUAGAAGCAUUUGGCCUGGAUACACGUAUUUGAUGUAUUGGUCAAUUGUGACACUUACAACAGUCGGCUAUGGAGACUUGCAUGCUGUGAAACUUCAAUGACAUACUCCACAAGAUAACAUUGAUUUACAUACUACAUUGCUUUCAAGGUUUGACCUGAAUCUUCAUCGUGAAAGGGGUUAGGAUGUUUAGCCAAGACAAGAUUGUAGCUACUCACAUCAUCAAGUCCAUGCAUCUACAAAUGCAAAACAAUGAUCCCAGAGAUCCAAAAGAAGAUAUUUGAUUAAAAAAACUCAUCAUCGCAGGGAGUUAAUUUAGAAUCAUACAAGAAAUGAGGCGUUAGGCAAACGAAACUGGGGAAUCAACUGGGGUACGAACAACUGUAAGACAUUAUAAGCUAUAGUAAGGUUGUGCGAGUCCCUAGCCAAGAUGAGACUAUAAGCUAUCAAAUAGGUUUUUCUUAUUCAUCCAUCUUGAAACUAAUAUUAUAAUUUAUUAACUGAUCUUUCUAUUUUGUUAAAUC